UUUGUUAUAUUGCACAAUUGGCGAAAGCCUGAUGCAGCGACGCCGCGUGGGGGAUGAAGGCUUUCGGGUUGUAAACCUCUUUCGCUAUCGAACAAGGCCCGCUUAGGGUGGGUUGAGGGUAGGUGGAGAAGAAGCGCCGGCUAACUACGUGCCAGCAGCCGCGGUAAUACGUAGGGCGCGAGCGUUGUCCGGAAUUAUUGGGCGUAAAGGGCUUGUAGGCGGCUUGUUGCGCCUGCUGUGAAAACGCGGGGCUUAACUUCGCGCGUGCAGUGGGUACGGGCAGGCUUGAGUGUGGUAGGGGUGACUGGAAUUCCAGGUGUAGCGGUGGAAUGCGCAGAUAUCUGGAGGAACACCGAUGGCGAAGGCAGGUCACUGGGCCAUUACUGACGCUGAGGAGCGAAAGCAUGGGUAGCGAACAGG
RNAcentral lists this ribosomal RNA (420 nucleotides) under bacterium. RNAcentral's name for it is "partial 16S ribosomal RNA". It matches the Rfam family "Bacterial small subunit ribosomal RNA", at positions 355 to 776 of the family's 1533-position model. The record is from RNAcentral.